RNAcentral lists this ribosomal RNA (1352 nucleotides) under uncultured bacterium. Its description in RNAcentral is "bacterial SSU rRNA". It matches the Rfam family "Bacterial small subunit ribosomal RNA", at positions 28 to 1381 of the family's 1533-position model. The record is from RNAcentral.
AUUGAACGCUGGCGGCAUGCCUUACACAUGCAAGUCGAACGGCAGCACGGAGCUUGCUCUGGUGGCGAGUGGCGAACGGGUGAGUAAUAUAUCGGAACGUACCCUGGAGUGGGGGAUAACGUAGCGAAAGUUACGCUAAUACCGCAUACGAUCUACGGAUGAAAGUGGGGGAUCGCAAGACCUCAUGCUCGUGGAGCGGCCGAUAUCUGAUUAGCUAGUUGGUAGGGUAAAAGCCUACCAAGGCAUCGAUCAGUAGCUGGUCUGAGAGGACGACCAGCCACACUGGAACUGAGACACGGUCCAGACUCCUACGGGAGGCAGCAGUGGGGAAUUUUGGACAAUGGGCGAAAGCCUGAUCCAGCAAUGCCGCGUGAGUGAAGAAGGCCUUCGGGUUGUAAAGCUCUUUUGUCAGGGAAGAAACGGUGAGGGCUAAUAUCUCUUGCUAAUGACGGUACCUGAAGAAUAAGCACCGGCUAACUACGUGCCAGCAGCCGCGGUAAUACGUAGGGUGCAAGCGUUAAUCGGAAUUACUGGGCGUAAAGCGUGCGCAGGCGGUUUUGUAAGUCUGAUGUGAAAUCCCCGGGCUCAACCUGGGAAUUGCAUUGGAGACUGCAAGGCUAGAAUCUGGCAGAGGGGGGUAGAAUUCCACGUGUAGCAGUGAAAUGCGUAGAUAUGUGGAGGAACACCGAUGGCGAAGGCAGCCCCCUGGGUCAAGAUUGACGCUCAUGCACGAAAGCGUGGGGAGCAAACAGGAUUAGAUACCCUGGUAGUCCACGCCCUAAACGAUGUCUACUAGUUGUCGGGUCUUAAUUGACUUGGUAACGCAGCUAACGCGUGAAGUAGACCGCCUGGGGAGUACGGUCGCAAGAUUAAAACUCAAAGGAAUUGACGGGGACCCGCACAAGCGGUGGAUGAUGUGGAUUAAUUCGAUGCAACGCGAAAAACCUUACCUACCCUUGACAUGGCUGGAAUCCUCGAGAGAUUGAGGAGUGCUCGAAAGAGAACCAGUACACAGGUGCUGCAUGGCUGUCGUCAGCUCGUGUCGUGAGAUGUUGGGUUAAGUCCCGCAACGAGCGCAACCCUUGUCAUUAGUUGCUACGAAAGGGCACUCUAAUGAGACUGCCGGUGACAAACCGGAGGAAGGUGGGGAUGACGUCAAGUCCUCAUGGCCCUUAUGGGUAGGGCUUCACACGUCAUACAAUGGUACAUACAGAGCGCCGCCAACCCGCGAGGGGGAGCUAAUCGCAGAAAGUGUAUCGUAGUCCGGAUUGUAGUCUGCAACUCGACUGCAUGAAGUUGGAACCGCUAGUAAUCGCGGAUCAGCAUGUCGCGGUGAAUACGUUCCCGGGUCU